GCGUAACGCGUAACCAAGCUACCCGAAUCUGGGGGAUCGCCCGCCGAAAGGCGGAUUAAUACCGCAUAAAACUGCAGCACGGCAUCGUGUAACAGUUAAAGAUUUAUUGGAUUCGGAUGGGGUUGCGUGCCAUUAGCUAGUUGGGGAGGUAACGGCUCACCAAGGCGACGAUGGCUAGGGGAGCUGAGAGGCUGGUCCCCCACACGGGCACUGAGAUACGGGCCCGAAUCCUACGGGAGGCAGCAGUAGGGAAUAUUGGGCAAUGGACGAGAGUCUGACCCAGCCAUGCCGCGUGCAGGAUGAAGGCUUUCUGAGUCGUAAACUGCUUUUAUCAGGGAAGAAACAAGGGGAUGCGUACUUCUACUGAACGGUACCUGAUGAAUAAGCACCGGCUAACUCCG
Molecule: ribosomal RNA, 401 nt
Filed under: uncultured bacterium
Lineage: Bacteria
Description: bacterial SSU rRNA
Rfam family: Bacterial small subunit ribosomal RNA
Source: RNAcentral